ACUCUAAACUAAGUUAGUUUAGGCCCAAUUUCACCAAAGUUGCUUAAACCGCCGGUUUCGAAACUGUGGUUCCUGGCUGAACAGAAGUUUUGAAUGCUGACGGAUUUCACCAGCACGAACUGACCAAAGAUUCCCAAACCGUCGUUUUAGAGUAUCGUGAA
Nilaparvata lugens (brown planthopper) is the source of this 161-nucleotide long non-coding RNA. RefSeq lists it as uncharacterized. The record is from RefSeq and is a predicted model, not a curated record. The transcript has 4 exons. Lineage: Eukaryota; Metazoa; Arthropoda; Insecta; Hemiptera; Delphacidae.